UUAAAAAGAUCAGAUUUGACCCAAAUAGCCCAAGUAACUGAAUCGACUUCCAAGUUCGCUAAUCUCAAUUACGAUGCCGUCGAAAGCCAAAGCUGCAUAUAGCGAGAAGAGAUGAUCGGAGAAUCAAACCUGUAACCGCUGAUGCGAUCGGUGAUCUGACGUGUGAUCAGUUUGAUGACCGCAUCCUGAGAGCGGUAUUGAUUGUUGUGUAACCUUUUGUUCCUCUCCUGCCAUACCCAGUAUAUCGUCGAUUGCCAACAUAACAAUUGGUUGCAGGUGACAUCUUCUGGAAAUCUCCACCCAAAUUCCCCAACUGUAUGGACACAGAUAGAAUAAAUGGUCCCUUGAUUCAGCAGCCUGAUUACAGAGAAGACAAGCCCCAUCCGUUUGAAGUCCCCAGCCUAUAAGACGGUCCCUAGUUGGGCAUCUAUUCAGUACAAACAACCAAGUUAGGAAGUUGUGGCGUGGAAUUCCUCUACCAAUCCAAACAAUUGAAGCCCACGCGAUCCUCUGUCUCAGUCAGACCUAAUGUUGUGAAGAAUAUAUGGAGUUGAAGCAUACUUUCAGAGCGUGGAGGAGGAAGUCUCCAGUUUCCACCAACAAAAAGGUCCGCUACGGUUGUUUUCAAGCUUAUACCCAUACCUGAAGUAUGGUCUGAGAGCAGAAACUGUGAAAGUUUCCCAAAGGGGGACCAAUUAUCUGACCAGAAGCGACAGGAUUCUCCAUUGCCUACUUGCAUCCUUAUCCAGGUAUAGACUUCAUCUCUGAGCUUGAAAAGCUUAUUGACAAGCCAUGAGUUUGAUGUUGAAGGUCUCAUAGUCCAGAAAUUUGAAAGGGAGCCUUUUAGAACUUCUGCCUUGAACCAUCCCACCCAAAUUGAUCCUGCUUGAAAGAACAGCAACCAUAUCAGUUUUAUACAACACGCCUUGUAAAAACUCUUGAUCCUAAAAUAUGCAAUUUUCAGUUUUCAAUUUUGUUGUCUUGAACAAAGUACAUAGAACGCUAAAAAAUGAAUUUAAAAAGUAACAAAGGAAAUGAUCAUCGUGAGUGUUUGUAUUUAAUCGGUGUUGAAUUACUUCAACAAGAAAGAAGAAUUACUCGCCAUUGAUGAACCAGUAAGAGUUAUGCUAAUUCAAACUUGGAAAGAGAGGGUAUAAUUUAUCUUCAGGCAAAUCUACAAAAAUACUUUUAAACAAUUUUUAUCAAUAAAAUAUCACAUAAGGAAGAAAAUGAUUAAUUAUA
Molecule: long non-coding RNA, 1242 nt
Organism: Brassica napus (rape)
Lineage: Eukaryota; Viridiplantae; Streptophyta; Magnoliopsida; Brassicales; Brassicaceae
Exons: 3
Source: RefSeq, a predicted model, not a curated record